GGGAGUCAUAAGUAAUGACUCUGCAGAUGAACCAGUCUUAUUUUCAAAUAUGCAUCUGUGCAAGAUGGGUACAAUCUCUUCUGAAAUAGAGUAAUUACUGUCAUGUAGGAAACUAGGCCCCCAGUUUUCCUCCCUACUUGGUGUUCUCAGGCUCCAGAUAGGAUGAAGAGUUGCAGUAACAAGUCUUGCUUAAAUGAACUUGCUAUGGAGACUUUGUAAGAGUUGCAUGACAGUGUCUGCGUAUUACUGUAAGCCAACGUAGGCUUCUCACAAGAAAGAUACUGCUUCAUUUACUGCACAUCUUAGGAACUUCUGGAUUGAAAUGAAGAAAAUAAAAUUUAGAUUAAAUUUACCUUGUGGCAUUCUAUUAGCUCUACCUAUAAUGAUGUCCAACAGUGUCUCAUUGUUGAAAGUGAAUUGCAGGAAGAGAUUUUUGAGGAACAGUCCUGAGGACCAAGCUGUUCUAACAGCUCUGAAGCCAGGCUGGUGAAUUGAAUAAGCCCAAACCAGAGCAUGAAAAACUCAAGAUCCAGCAGAGAGGAGGAGCAGAAGAGAAGUUCAAUUCCCAUCUUUCAACCUCUCUGAUGUGUCAUUUCACCCCAAGUAAUAAAGACAUUUUACAUACUGAAAGUAAUGAUAUAUUAUGAAAAAUAGAAAAGAACUAAUCUUAUAAUCAUCUUUCUUUCUAACACUAGUUUGUUAGAAAAAUUCAUAAUUCCUGUUUUGUGAAAUUCUGGAAAGAGAUCAUGAUCUACUAUUAAGGGAAAGGAUUAUUUCCAAAUAUUCUUUGUGCUAUAUCCUUAAGUAUAGCAUAUGUCCAAAGACAGUGUUCAAAGAACGUAUGCCAG
This is a long non-coding RNA of Gallus gallus (chicken), 848 nucleotides long. The record is from Ensembl. Lineage: Eukaryota; Metazoa; Chordata; Aves; Galliformes; Phasianidae.